RNAcentral lists this ribosomal RNA (253 nucleotides) under uncultured bacterium. RNAcentral describes it as "partial 16S ribosomal RNA". It matches the Rfam family "Bacterial small subunit ribosomal RNA", at positions 524 to 776 of the family's 1533-position model. The record is from RNAcentral.
UACGUAGGGUGCGAGCGUUGUCCGGAAUUAUUGGGCGUAAAGCGUCCGCAGGUGGCUGUGUAAGUCUGCUGUUAAAGAGUGAGGCUCAACCUCAUAAAGGCAGUGGAAACUACAUGGCUAGAGUGCGUUCGGGGCAGAGGGAAUUCCCGGUGUAGCGGUGAAAUGCGUAGAGAUCAGGAAGAACACCGGUGGCGAAAGCGCUCUGCUAGGCCGCAACUGACACUGAGGGACGAAAGCUAGGGGAGCGAAUGGG